CGGUAAUACGGAGGGUGCAAGCGUUACUCGGAAUCACUGGGCGUAAAGCGCGCGCAGGCGGCUUGAUAAGUUGGAUGUGAAAGCCUACGGCUCAACCGUAGAACUGCAUCCAAAACUGUCAAGCUAGAGUGUGGGAGAGGAAGAUGGAAUUAGUUGUGUAGGGGUAAAAUCCGUAGAGAUAACUAGGAAUACCAAAAGCGAAGGCAAUCUUCUGGAACACUACUGACGCUGAGGCGCGAAAGCGUGGGGAGCAAACGGGAUUAGAUACCCCGGUAGUCCACGCAGUAAACGAUGAAUGUUAGUCGUCGGGGGCCUAGUGUCUUCGGUGAUGCAGCUAACGCAUUAAACAUUCCGCCUGGGGAGUACGGUCGCAAGAUUAAAACUCAAAGGAAUAGACGGGGACCCGCACAAGUGGUGGAGCAUGUGGUUUAAUUCGAAGAUACGCGAAGAACCUUACCUAGCCUUGACAUAUUUGAAAAUCCACCAGAGAUGGAGGAGUGCCUUCGGGAGUUCAUUUACAGGUGCUGCACGGCUGUCGUCAGCUCGUGUCGUGAGAUGCUGGGUUAAGUCCCGCAACGAGCGCAACCCUCGUCACUAGUUUACUAACGGUUCGGCCGAGGACUCUAGUGAGACUGCCUUCGUAAGGAGGAGGAAGGUGAGGACGACGUCAAGUCAUCAUGGCCCUUACGGCUAGGGCAACACACGUGCUACAAUGGUUGGGACAGUGAGACGCGAUACCGUGAGGUGGAGCAAAUCUAUAAACCCAAUCUCAGUUCGGAUUGUAGUCUGCAACUCGACUACAUGAAGCUGGAAUCACUAGUAAUCGUAGAUCAGCUAUGCUACGGUGAAUACGUUCCCGGG
This 861-nucleotide ribosomal RNA is filed under the name uncultured bacterium. RNAcentral's name for it is "bacterial SSU rRNA". It matches the Rfam family "Bacterial small subunit ribosomal RNA", at positions 518 to 1378 of the family's 1533-position model. The record is from RNAcentral.